UUUUAAGAGUCAAGGUCUUCCAGUCUCCAAAAGCCUCAUUCUUUCCCUUGGUUUAUGAUAUUCAAUUUGGCUCCUGCUGUAAUGUACACUGAAACCUCAGGCUGCUGAGCUAUCUUGAUGGUUUUAAGAAGACAAUCUGGUGCCUUUACCUGCUAGAGAAGUCACCUAGAAUCCUGUUGUUUAAGAACUACUUAACAAUAUACAUACUGAUCCAUUGUGGAAUUAUUAAGGAAAAUACAUUGAAAUAGGUGGCAUUCUUGUCAAAGAUAUAUAUGGACGGCUAGAUGGAUAGAUAGGUGAAAAUCAUGUUCCAUGGAAGAAGAGUUAGCUCAGCCUGCAACUCAAACAAGUACAGAUAUUCUUCCAUGGAAUGACCAUCAUACUUGGAUUGUAAUAAAAAUGCUUUAGGCAAACUUCUCAUUUCAUCCUUGGCAUAUUAAAAAUAUGUAUGUAUGUUUAAGGCUUGAAACUUAACACUGUAUUUUAAUGUUUCAGUAAGGUAAUUCUUCUUAAAUAAAAUUGGCAUUUUUAAAAAAGCCCUCUCUCACCACUCCUAUUCAACAUAGUGUUGGAAGUUCUGGCCAGGGCAAUUAGG
Molecule: long non-coding RNA, 595 nt
Filed under: Homo sapiens (human)
Lineage: Eukaryota; Metazoa; Chordata; Mammalia; Primates; Hominidae
Description: HSALNT0309358
Source: RNAcentral